This 26-nucleotide non-coding RNA is filed under the name Mus musculus (house mouse). Lineage: Eukaryota; Metazoa; Chordata; Mammalia; Rodentia; Muridae. RNAcentral also lists the same sequence under 1 other name. The record is from RNAcentral.
UGAGAGAAAAUUAUUGUCAGGAGAAC